UUUUAACUUCUAACUCCCUAGAUCUCAAAGUAUCAAUGACUAUAGCUUGAGUCAGUUUAUCCAUUGAGUAUUUUAUUGCAUUUAUGACAUCUUUAUAUGAGUCAGGUAAUGAGUUUAACAGGAUUACAGUAAGAUCUUCAUCAUCAAAUUUCUUUUCAUUAUUUGCAAGGUUUUUCACUAUGAUAUUAAAUUCAUUCAAAUUUACCUCUAAGUCCUUCCCAGGGUUCAUACUAAAGCUAAAUAGCUUUUCCAAGAGAUAAAUUUUAUUUGGUAGUGUUUUAGUUAAAAACAUAGCAUCAAGGGCAGUCCAUAGGGCUCUAACAGUUUU
Molecule: long non-coding RNA, 328 nt
Filed under: Olea europaea subsp. europaea
Lineage: Eukaryota; Viridiplantae; Streptophyta; Magnoliopsida; Lamiales; Oleaceae
Source: RNAcentral